UGUGGUGGAUGAUAACAGU
RNAcentral lists this non-coding RNA (19 nucleotides) under Mus musculus (house mouse). The record is from RNAcentral. Lineage: Eukaryota; Metazoa; Chordata; Mammalia; Rodentia; Muridae.